This is a long non-coding RNA of Mesocricetus auratus (golden hamster), 916 nucleotides long. RefSeq lists it as uncharacterized. The record is from RefSeq and is a predicted model, not a curated record. The transcript is spliced from 3 exons. NCBI's taxonomy places the organism in Eukaryota, Metazoa, Chordata, Mammalia, Rodentia, Cricetidae.
CAUGUUGACCAAGCAGACCUCAAAUUCACAGAAAUUCAACUGCCUCUGCCUCCUGAGUGAUGGGAUUAAAUGUGUGUGCCAGUAAGCCCAACCUCACUUUCUCCUUUUCAUACAGCCUAGGGGAUAGUGCUAUCUGUAAUGGAACACUUGAGUCUUCCAAACUCAACUGACCUAAUCAAGACAAUCUCCUACGGCACCCCUGGAGGUUGUUCUAGGUAACUCUAGUUUUCAUCCAGUUGACAAUGACGAUCAAUCCUCACAAUUGUAAGGGUGGAGGGAGAUCACCUAUAUUGAGAACACAUGAUAAAGUGUUCAAUAAACUAAUGUCAUCUUUUACUGUCAUGAGGACAUGCUGCUAAAGUCGCGACCUCAAGAGCUCCCUGAUGCUGUUAGUCAGGUGUCCUUUGUGCCUGUCUGUUGCUAGCUACGACUUCUCAGGUUUAAUAAAAUGCAGAUUUCCCAGGUUUCACAGCUAAAAUGAGUUUGUUGAAGCAUGAGCAAUUCCCAGUGGACACAGGAAGCAAGCAAUUUUGUACAAAUGUUGGAGGUAGUAGAGAUAGUAGCCUACCCCUCCAACCAUGAGGAGAAUUCUGGCUGUGACAUGGACAAGGACUGGCCGGAGAAACCAAGAAAGCAUCAAAGAUUGGCCCUCAGCUGGUUGGUGGUCCCAGGUGGCACCAUUCCAGGACUUCUUCCUGAGCGUGUAUACAAUGUGACCAGCCGCCUCCAGCUCCUGCCAGGAUGUCUUCUUCCUGAAUUUGUACGCAGUGUGAUCAGCCACCUCAAGCUCCUGCCAGUGGCCUUCCCUGUCAUGAUGAGUUGUACCCUAGAAUACUGUGUCAAAUAUGCCUGCCUCUUGUAAGUUGUUUCUUGUCAAGUAUUUGAUGAGCAAUGAAAACCAUAAUCUCUACAGACA